UAAGGAAUAUUGCGCAAUGGAGGCAACUCUGACGCAGCCAUGCCGCGUGCAGGAUUGAAGGCCUUAUGGGUCGUAAACUGCUUUUAUUUAGGAAUAAACUUUCGUACGUGUACGAAACUGAAGGUACUCUAUGAAUAAGCACCGGCUAACUCC
Molecule: ribosomal RNA, 153 nt
Filed under: uncultured bacterium
Lineage: Bacteria
Description: partial 16S ribosomal RNA
Rfam family: Bacterial small subunit ribosomal RNA
Source: RNAcentral